AGAGCACGUUGCAGAGCUUGAAAGCUUGAAUGCUUGGAGUGGAAUGGUUGUUCUCUGCCUUGCUACAGUCUUCUGUGGCUAUUUAAGCCAACCCCCACGGAAACUAGCCGUUACACUGCUUUUUCUGCCCGUUCUGCACACUCUGCGCAGCCUGACAAUAUGACCGUUGGUGGGUUGGAGUCGACUCGCGCGAUCAGGAGUCGACUCGGCUGUAGCGGGAGUCGACUCAAGCUUUUCCGGAGUCGACUCGGCAACUGUUCCAAAUUUGAAUUAAAGUUGCCGUCACGAC
Molecule: long non-coding RNA, 289 nt
Filed under: Phoenix dactylifera (date palm)
Lineage: Eukaryota; Viridiplantae; Streptophyta; Magnoliopsida; Arecales; Arecaceae
Description: long non-coding RNA (PDAC_LNC021371)
Source: RNAcentral